AGCCGUGUACGGAUGUGAUAAACGCUGAAGGCAUCUAAGCGUGAAGCACACCUCAAGAUUAGAUAUCCCACAGCAAAAGCUGGUAAGGUCACUUGUCGACUACAAGUUUGAUAGGUCGGGUGUGUAAGCACGGUAACGUGUAGAGCUGACCGAUACUAAUAGACCGAGGGCUUGAACUA
Molecule: ribosomal RNA, 179 nt
Filed under: Clostridia bacterium
Lineage: Bacteria; Bacillati; Bacillota; Clostridia
Description: partial 23S ribosomal RNA
Rfam family: Bacterial large subunit ribosomal RNA
Source: RNAcentral